This is an unclassified non-coding RNA of Pongo abelii (Sumatran orangutan), 148 nucleotides long. It matches the Rfam family "Metazoan signal recognition particle RNA". Rfam says of the family: The signal recognition particle (SRP) is a universally conserved ribonucleoprotein. It is involved in the co-translational targeting of proteins to membranes. The eukaryotic SRP consists of a 300-nucleotide 7S RNA and six proteins: SRPs 72, 68, 54, 19, 14, and 9. NCBI's taxonomy places the organism in Eukaryota, Metazoa, Chordata, Mammalia, Primates, Hominidae. The record is from Ensembl.
GCUGGGCGUGGUGGCGUGCGCCUGUAAUCCCAGCUACUCGGGAGGCUGAGGCUGGAGAAUUGCUUGAACCUGGGAGGCGGAGGUUGCAGUGAGCCGAGAUCAUGCUACUGCACUCCAGCCUGGGUGACAGAGUGAGAUUCCGUCUCAA